AAAUGAAAAGAAGGGACUAAUAGGGAAUAAGACGUGUGAUCCAUGGCCCGAUGGCCCUGAUGGACGUGAAGAUCCACUGUUGUGGGAGGAGUGGAACACUAACACUGAAUGAUGGAGGCUGUGGUCAGAAACAGGGAUUAGCAACCCACUCUCCACCAAAUUUCAAGUCACUAGGGGCAUUAUGCUAUGUCCCAGGAGUGGCCAAGGCUUCAAGGACCAAUGAUAGACCUGCUGCUCUAACCUAGGCCUGCUGAGGAGUACAAUUCAACCUGUGUUUCUGUGUGGUUCAGCAAUCUUGCUGAGCUCCUCUAAGUCAGUCCAUCCUGCCACAGCUGGGAAGAAUCAAGAAACUCUCCAAGAAGACGUUUAUUGGUUGAUAAAAAUCUGUUUAUCUGCCUGUUGCCAAUGAGAAGACAGGUCUGCUGACCAUGGCAGGCAUGGCAGCACGUGACACCGUGUUUGCUGCUCACUGCAUGUUCCACCUGAACUUUCCCGUCCGGUCAAUGAGUCUUGACAGUGGGGUGAAGGGGACUCACUCUCAAAGACCAAGGCUGACCCGCUUUGAGUACAAUGCCUUGACCUAGUUACUGUCACUGUGGUUUUGUCUUCAGGAACUAAAAGGUACAAUAAAAACUUGUUCAUUU
Molecule: long non-coding RNA, 644 nt
Filed under: Homo sapiens (human)
Lineage: Eukaryota; Metazoa; Chordata; Mammalia; Primates; Hominidae
Description: long independently transcribed non-coding RNA 2365 (LINC02365)
Source: RNAcentral